This 1108-nucleotide long non-coding RNA is filed under the name Sparus aurata (gilthead seabream). RNAcentral describes it as "lncRNA (ENSSAUG00010024118.1)". The record is from RNAcentral. Lineage: Eukaryota; Metazoa; Chordata; Actinopteri; Spariformes; Sparidae.
CACUCUUUAGUACGACACGCACUGCACUGUUUCUGUACCAAACAGCUUCUGAAUCUUUUCAGACUGAAUUUCCCCGUGGACAACGAGCAGUACUGUGUCAGGUCAUGUGAGCCGAAACCUAAGGAACCCACUGCAGAGAGAAAGGCCUCUCGUGUAGCCAGAUCAGAGCUUCGCUUUCAGGCAUCCUGCCAGGACAGCUGCACCCGUUUGGAAGACUUGCAACCGCAGCCAUGAGCGCCUCAGAGGAGCGACUGAUGCAUGGAUAUCCCCACCUAACCUGAGAGAAGAAGCAGGAAGAGGCACAGACGGGCACAGAGAGGAGACCACUCCUUUAUAUAAGAGAAGCUGCCUUAUGGUCAACAGGACGGAUCUCGGCCCAGAACAGAGCUCGUCAGCUUUUGUUGUGGAUCUGGAUGAAGGGAUCAGGGAAGAUCAUUUCUCAGGGAACAAUUCAUGGAUCCUGAUCACAUCUGGCGUAUGUAGGUGGCUGGUGUCUAUGAGUGAGAACAACUGGAUCUGGAUGUAACAUAUUUAAACUUGGUUUAUUUGAUAUUGGAUGAGGCUCGAUUGAACUGAAGGGGACUGUUGGCCCGCGGCGGAGUCUGCACUCUACUGAACGCCAUUUAACUUGUAUUUUUCUCCACCUGUUGGCUCGUAUAGCUCUGUUUCAGUCUCCACCCACUGCUGAGGUAAACAUUUAGAUCUUUAGCUUGCUAGCUUCAACUUUUUUAAACCGUGUGUGUCUGCAGUCCGGAGCCGGCCAGGCAACGUACAGCCGGUUUGUUAACGCUCUCUGGGAACAACGAUCAGGUUGGCUCAGACUUUCAGGGGCACUAUGUAACCUCAGAAUGAUAUUUACAACAUUAAUUAAGUAAUUUUACAAGCUCAGGACAUUUAUUUGAUGAAUGCAUAUCCAUAAUGAGAGUUUGAAUAUUAGUUUGCUCAGACGGCUCCUGUCGAGAUAAACAACCUAAAACACUGUUCUUGUUUUCUUUUCCGAUUCAAAAUUCUUCCCCGACUUUACUUUGUGCACUUUUAACUAAACUCAAAGAGGCUAACAGCGCCGGUGAAGCUGCUGAGUGAUACAACAAUUCUUUGCUAUUCUUCU